GAGAGAGAGGAAAGGAGGGAAAAAACGCUAAAAGAAAAAGGACAGAAACAUUCCAUUUUUUUGUGUGUCUCGACGUUGCGAGUGAAAAGUUUUCGUUUCCUUUUGUUGGUUUUGUUGGUUUUGUGAUUUU
This 130-nucleotide non-coding RNA is filed under the name Chloropicon mariensis. Lineage: Eukaryota; Viridiplantae; Chlorophyta; Chloropicophyceae; Chloropicales; Chloropicaceae. The record is from RNAcentral.